Molecule: ribosomal RNA, 253 nt
Filed under: uncultured bacterium
Lineage: Bacteria
Description: partial 16S ribosomal RNA
Rfam family: Bacterial small subunit ribosomal RNA
Source: RNAcentral
UACGUAGGGGGCAAGCGUUGUCCGGAUUUAUUGGGCGUAAAGAGCGUGUAGGCGGCCAGACAGGUCCGUUGUGAAAACUCGAGGCUCAACCUCGAGACGCCGAUGGAAACCGUCUGGCUAGAGUCCGGAAGAGGAGAGUGGAAUUCCUGGUGUAGCGGUGAAAUGCGCAGAUAUCAGGAAGAGCACCCGUGGCUAAGGCGGCUCUCUAGUACGGUACUGACGCUGAGACGCGAAAGCGUGGGGAGCGAACAGG